Long non-coding RNA from Manacus vitellinus (golden-collared manakin), 6719 nucleotides. RefSeq lists it as uncharacterized. The record is from RefSeq and is a predicted model, not a curated record. The transcript has 2 exons. Lineage: Eukaryota; Metazoa; Chordata; Aves; Passeriformes; Pipridae.
AGGCUCGCCCAAAAGGAGAAGGCCUGACACCAUACCAGGGCAAGAAACGCUGCUUUGGUGAAUAUAAGUGCCCCAAAUGCAAGAGAAAAUGGAUGAGUGGAAACUCCUGGGCUAACAUGGGACAAGAAUGUAUCAAGUGCCACAUUAACGUUUAUCCUCACAAACAGAGACCCCUGGAAAAGCCGGACGGGCUGGAUGUUUCAGAUCAGAGCAAAGAGCAUCCCCAGCAUCUGUGUGAGAAGUGCAAAGUUUUGGGCUACUACUGCCGCCGUGUGCAAUAAACCUUCCAAGUGGCCUCUUCCCAUCCCCAUCAUCCUUAAAGAUUCUCUGGCAGCAUGCGAUCCACAGCAACACAACAAAUCAAGAUAAAAGCUAAAAUAAUUGCCAAUAUUGCCUAUCUAAUAAUAUGCCUUACUAUUAAUAGAAUGUAACAUUUCUCCUGUGCAUGUGCACACGUGCAGCAGGUAUUUACGGGACUAUGAUUUGUAUACAUAUAUAUGUAAAUGUAUAUAUAUAUAUGUACACACACAUAUAUAAAGUGUUAUUGAUGGUGUUCACAACAGAACUACAGUUACAGGUUCUGCUGAUUGUUUACACAGACCCUCUAUCACAGCCAGGUGAAAUGAAGUACUAUUCAAAAGGCAAGGUAUAAUAUUCACAAGGAAUAUAUGUUUUACGUAUGGCUUUUGCAGAGGUUCAAUAACUGUGGGGCCACUAAUUCCAAGCACUCGCCCACAACAUCAACAUUGUUCUUAUUAUAUGACAAGACAAAGGAAGAUGAAACAAGCCACAGCAUAAAAGGAGAAUUAUUGUUUUCCCAGUUUUAGAAAGUCUUAGAAUUUUGUGCUGUUGUUUUCUUGGACUUUUUCUAGUUGUUACCAUCUCUUGGGCAAGGCUUAGGCAAAAUCAUUUUUGCAGAACAUGGCAAAAAAAGUGAAUAAUUGUUUGAGGGUGUGAGUUUGGUAGAAAGGGAAUACCAUAAUGGGACCCAGAGCAUUGGGAAGGAUUCCAAGAGGUUUUUGGAGGAGAAGAAAUUGGCUUGCUUGUGCAACAGAUCCUUCUCUUGUCAUAUAAUCCCACUGAAAUGGUCCCUGUGUGCGCAUGGCUUGUUCAUUAGGCCACAAACAGACUAAAUUUUCUAUGAACAAGGGGAUAAGAAUACUUAAAACUGUCUCUAAAACCCUUAAUUGAAAGAUUAGCCAAACUUACUAUUUAUAGUAGUUUUAAAGCCACUUUUUGGAAAUAUUUUUUCCUGUUUACUACCAUAGAAAUUUGUUAUAAUACGAAACUUGUUAGCCAUAGGGGUGUUUUGAGGCAUGGAAAAACUGUAUAACCCUCCCUCCUUCUGUCUUCCUGAAGCACCUACACAGCUGAGGAGAAACGUAGGAGUUAUAUUUUGUUGUCCCAUUUCGGGUAGAACCUUGUGCAGGGGCAUUCUGCUGCAAAGAAGGAUCUCAUCAGGGAUUGGCAAAUAUGAACUGAAUGUACCUCGAGACAGUAUCCUCUUUGUAUGUCUACAGAAGAGUACAUUGGCAGAAGGACACAACAAGCAAUUCAUUUGUAGCAUUCACUAAAAAAUUACAGGGAUAAUGUUUGUUUGAGAUUGGGGGUUCUUUUGCAUCAACAAUUUCUAUUUUUAUGAAGUUUCCUUUAGAGAGAUUGAUUUGUGUGAGUGAUACUUAGAGAAAAUAAUUUAAAUCCUAAACAACUUGAUGUGAACUAAAUUUGUUCUGAGGACUAAUUCCAUAAUGCAAAGACAGAGGGGAGUUUAUGCCAAGUGAUAGCUUGUGUCCAGUCAAGCUCUUAUAAAGCAAGUUGAAAACUUACUGCAAGCAUUCAUAUAGGAAAUGGGAAGCUCUUUACAAAUUUGCUCUAGGGUGAAACUCUGGCCAUUUCCCUGCUUUGCUAUAAGCAGGGCAGAAUUGCAUCUGCUUAUUGUGGUGGGAGUGGCACAUGCAUAUCUUGCAAAUUCAUAAUUAAUGGGUAGGCCAGGCAACCCAGCCUACUGAUCAUAACAUGGAGCAAUGGAUAAGCGUUCUGACCCCCGGCUUCUGACCACAGCUCUUCCAUUAGCUCCCUGAUUUUGGGCAAGUCACAAGAUCUUUCUGGACCUCAGUUUCCCCAGCUGCAAAAUGGGGAUAAUAAUACUUCAGUAUACCUACCUCACAGGAGAGUUGUGAGGUUUACUUAAUAUCUCUAAGUAUUUUGGCAUCACUGGAUGAAAAGUGCUAUGUAAUGCUAAAAUAGUAUUAACUAAAUUAAUUACUUGGAAACUACUUUUGCCCAGUUGGCAAUUCCGUCAACUAAAAUAGCUGCAAAUUACAUUAUUGAAAGUAACACUAAUAAACAGUUUAGUUGCCUCAGUGAAGACAUGCAGUUUUAGCAUUUUCAAAUGCAAACGCAUUCUUUUGCACAGAUUCACAAAUUACCUUAGAGACAAAUUCUCUCAACAAAGAUACUAAUCUGUCUAUACAAAUAAGAAUAAGAAAAUACACAAGCAAAUCUAGGGGUGGAUUUUCUAAGCUUGACCUCUAGGAUUAAUCUCAAUAGUUUGUUUCAAGCAUGAGUAAUUUUGAAAGAGCAGCAUUCUAAACCAGAUCUAUUUUUCCUCUUGAGCACUUAAUAGUACAUGAACAAAAAAAGAAAAAAUAAAUCAUCUUGAUGAUUCACAUCCAGCUAAAGGAUGUGUAGAGAAACCCCCUUAGAUGAAGAUAAGGGGAAAUGUUAUUUUUUUUUCUCCUUGAAACUAAGAUGUUGCUAUCAAAUGUUUUGUUCUGUAUUGAAAUAGUUUCCAUGUUAUGAUAACCACUAGAUCAGUAAAAUAGCACAACCCUUGAUAUAGCUGUAUCAACGUAUCGCACACCACCAGGUUGGACAAAAAGCUGACUAAAGAUACCAUUAUAAGCAAGUGCUGGUAUUUUCAUGACAGUGCCCUGUUAAAAAUUUUUUAUCCACAUUCAACACUGCAAGGCAAUGCCUUAAGCUUAUGGAUUUUUAGAUUCUACUAAAAAUACACGUGAUCUACUUUAACACAAUUAAUGCCUAUAGGUGUAGCAUAAUAACUCUUAAGAGCAUAGUUACAAGAGUUCAGUAUUUAUAUCACUGAUACGUUCUUAGUCAGAAGACAUAUAAAGUAUUUAAGUAAUACUUAGCAUAUCUGUAAUAAAGAGGAGAACAGACUUUCCCCUGCACUAACGUUGGGGAGAAGUAAAUAAGGAACAGAGUGUGAGGAAGAGCAAAAGCAACACUGCCGUAGUUUGUACUGCCUAAGUCAGAGACUGUGGAUCCCUCCUGGAGCGGGGUGCAGAUGUGAUCAGGCCUUGGGCACCCCCCUGCACAGGGCUGAAACCUCUCUCCCUGCCAAGCUGGUGCCUGGGAAAGGCAGGAGCACCAAGCUUAUGCGAGGGGAGCAUUCCUCUGUCCCUCCCUGCAUGAGGUUUGCUCAUAGGAUUGCAGCACUGGGCCCGGGGCAUUUGCUCCACACUCAAGUCUGUGUAGUUUGUGAGUUGCUGGAAAAAUACAUCUGCAUAAGUCAUGUAUGACAGCUUAUGACCUAUUGGCUUUUAGCUCAUGGCACAGAAGGGACAUUUCUGAAUUUUCUGAAUUUCAAAGGGAAAAAGAAUUGGUUACAAAAUGUAGAUCUCUUCUAUUCCCUCCCUCCCUUCAAAGGUAAUUCACCUAUAGAUGUAACUAACUUUCCAAAACUUAAAAAUUCAGAUUUUUGACAGGAAAAAAAAAGGAGUUGAUUUCUCUUAAGUUUUUGUGAAUGCUUCCUGAUGUUCUCUUUAACUAGCUCUACAUUUAGAACAUCAGCUAGCAAUCCUUGAAGGCAUUUGUAGACAGUCUUAGCAGAGGUGAAGCAAGCAUCAGUAAAGAACUUUAAACCAAAACAGGCCUCCCUAAAUUGCAUAUUCUUUAGGGAUGUACCUGAGAGCAGUCUGGUUCUAUGCAUUUAUUUGGCAAACUGGAUUUUUAACCUCAGAUGCUUGCUGUUGACAGCGUACCAAUCCAUCCAGCAUGCACUUUUUUUUUUUAAAUUUCACCCCUUUUUAGAGAUUUUUUUCAACUUUCAUUUAUUUCUUUAAAAAAAAAAGAAAAAAGAAAAAAGAGACAAAGAAACAAAAUGACAAUUUGUUUCAUGAGUUGGUCAGAACAUUUCACAUUGAAUUGUCCUUGGCAUUGGCACUGCUCUGGAGAAAAGUACCAGUAAUUUGAAAUGUGUGUUGUAGGUUAGCUGCUUUAACUUGAUGAGGCUCCAAUGAAGUUGUUACAAAUACUUCAUUCAAUGGUCAUAAAGAAAAAUUCCUGUAGUUUAAAGGAUGGGCCCAUUUUAGCCAGUUUCUACUGCUGCUACCACAGACAGCCACACAAUGAUGCCACACAAGCAAAGUUUGAGGCCUUUUUGUCUCAAAGUUGCUUUUUGAUUUCAGAUAAAUACACAAGAGUAUAUAUUAUUUCUGAAAAUAGGUGUAUUUUGAAGUUCCCCAUUAUAUGGGACUUAGUUUUUAAACUAAAAAUGUGAAGUUACGUGUGUCUGAGAGAAGCCUUAUACCUAGAAGUAUUAUCUACGUUUUACCUUUUUGUAUAACGUGAAAUUUAGAUUAUACAUGGGUUACAUACUGUGACACUCUAGUUUGGUUUUUUUUUAAAAAAAACCUACUUAAAAGAUCAAAAGUUAACAGCUUCUGGAAAUGUCAGACUUCCUAGAUUAGUGCUCUUAGUCCUGAAGUCACGCAGAAGAUUUUUUUUUUCCUAGUAUGGAUCCUGAGAGUUGUCUACUGAACAGUAUGAAAUAAAUCAUCAACACGUGUUUUUCAAGUUAAGUAGAUUGACAUAUAUUUUCCACUUGCCUUUGCCAACAUACUUUAAAAUGAGAUGGAACUAUCCCCAUACAAAAAUCAUUCUUUCAGAUAUCACUCCGCUCCCAACUGGGCUUCAACCCCUAUCUCCUUCCUAUCUGCAAAACCAGUGCUGUCCACUCAGUUUGUUGUAUCACUCAAGUGCUCAGAGGGCUGUUUGAGAUCUUAGAUAUAGGGAUGAUGGAUUGUGUUUCUAGGAUGAAUUUCAAAGGGACAAUCGUGUGCAGUUACUAGCUAUAGAUGAUUGAUAUAAAUGUUUACCCCUGUAUGAAGUAUUUUACAGUUUUACUUGCAGAUGUGUAUUUAUCUUGAGUUAUACUUGACAUAGAGUUUCUUUCAAUUUUUUUUUUUAAUCCUAUGUGUGUAUUUUGGAAACCUUUUUAGAUGUUAAAAUUUUUGAAUGGUUACAAAUAUUUCUUAUAAUACUGAAUUGUUAUCUUAUCUGGAAACUCUUUGCAGUAACUUUUUUGUAUAUAUUUGAGGGCCUUUUUAAAAAAGUAUUGUUUGUUUUUUGGGCAAAGUUUUUAAAAUUUGGAAGCUUUCAGAAGGGCCUUUCUCUCAACUAGGAUACUAACAGAGGUAAGAGUUUUCUUAAAUAUUUUGCAGUAUUUUGCAGAACUAAGGAUGUAUCCUCAAGAAAAUAUUUAUGGAAAUAAUUUACUUUUUUUUUUUACAAUGCUUUUGUCUGUAUAAAGUAUGCAACAGAACUACAUUAAGAAGGAAAUAUUGUCUACAUAAAAUAUUAUAUGAAAGUUGGUACAUAAUUCUGACAAAAAAACCUUGCAAUUCUUUAAGCCAUAUUGUUUUUGUUAUCCUUGGAUGAAAAUAUCAGUAUUAAGUAACCAGUAUAUUAUUCAAGUGCUUAGACUUAUAUGAAAAUGCUUAUACAGUUUAUUUAUGUAUUUGGGGAAGGAUUGCUAGAAGAGCUAUCACUAGACAUGUAGCAAGUGAGGAGCAAAUAACAGUAAACUGUCACUUUAUGGCCUUGUGAGAGACACAAAAAACACUGAAAGCACCGUAGAGACACGGCUUUCAGAAACUCCGAAGCACAAGUGUUGGGUUUCAAAUGGUGGUUCUUUCCUUCCCCAUAACCAGAGGGGAAGAAAGUUGGUUGGGACACUGUUUAACUUGACUUUCACAACUCUUUGCAAACUGUGAGCUCAGCUAUGCAGUAUCGGCUACAGCAAUAAUAUCAAUCAAAGGGUAUAAGAAGAAAAAGAUUGAAGUAGAUUAUUGUAGGGGUUUAUGUUUAUUUUAAUUAGAACUCAUAGCAAUAUAGAAUAUGCAUGUGCACGUAUUCAAAGCAUUUUACACUUUACAUUUCAUGUAGUUUGAUUAUAUUAUGAAGGAUUGAGUUUUUAGUUUGAUAUUUUACCAUGCUAAAAUGGGAGGUCUGCCCAACCCUGUACUGGAUUCUUGUUUUCUUUAAAAGGUUAUUUAGUACAGCACUCACUGCAUUGUCUAAUAGUGCUAAAACUAACACUAUCUUAUGAAUUUCUUCAGCUUUAAAAAAAUUAACCUAAUGAUUAUUACAUUUGUUUAGCUGUACCCACUGACCUUGUCAGAUUCAGUUGGCAACUUGUGUAAUUUCUUUUUCUGUAACUGUUAAUAAACUUGUACAGCUAAAACAAACAAACAAAACCAAUGGACAAAGGCCUCAGAGGUACCAGUUCUGCUUCAGCAAUCAAGAUGACAGCUUGCUCAUCUGGUGACUGUGUUGCUAAAGAGACUGUAAAACCUCUGUUGUGGAUUGUCCAUUAAAUGGCAUUCCGACAUGUGCCUUAUUUGCUGGAUAGUAUACAGCUUUCUUCUAGUAUUCUAGCAGUUUAAUGCUGUAUUAAAAGUACUGCAAAAAAAUCA